AUGAAUUCUUAUGAAACGGACAUAGACAGCCAAGAUCUUCUCCAACGCCUGGCCCUUUGCAGUCCAGAUGAACAAGGGUACGAGCUGCGUCAAGGCAUCAUUCGUUUGCAUAGCAAGAUCUGGAUUGGGGCCAACACCGCUAUACAGACCAAAUUGAUCAAUGCAUUCCACGCAAGUGCGAUUGGUGGUCACUCAGGAGUAACAGCUACGUAUCAGCGGGUCAAAAAGUUGUUUGCUUGGCGCGGUCUGAAACAAGCAGUGGAGGAUUUUGUCCGGCAGUGCUCGGUAUGUCAGCACGCGAAGCAUGAACACUUGAAGACGCCCGGUCUCCUUCAACCUCUCCCAGUACCCACUGAACCUUGGAGGGAUUUAACCAUGAAUUUCGUAGAAGGAUUGCCAGCUUCUGAGGGCUACGAGGUGAUCAUGGUCGUGGUCGACCGCUUCACCAAAUAUGCUCACUUUGUCCCACUACGUCACCCGUUCACAGCAGCAACAGUGGCUCGAGCAUUUUGGGAUAACAUCAUCAAGUUACAUGGAGUGCCCCAUUCGAUUGUCUCCGAUCGUGACAAGAUUUUCACUAGUGCCAUGUGGCGUGCUCUGUUGGAAGCAGCGGGCACGAAACUCAGCUAUUCCACGGCUUACCAUCCUCAGACAGACGGACAGAGUGAACGGGUGAAUCAAUGCCUUGAAAUGUAUCUCCGGUGUGCAGUCCAUGAAACACCCAAACAAUGGCGCAAGUGGCUUCCAACAGCUAAAUUUUGGUAUAACACCACUCAUCACUCCUCCUUGAAUACUUCUCCAUUCAAAGCUCUCUAUGGUCAAGAACCAAACCUCGGUGGCCUGCCCACCUUAUCUCUGAACCUGCCAGACAACAAGGAUGCAGACUUGGACUGGGCAACACACAAUGACAGGCUACGUGCUCAACUUGCCCAGGCACAAAACAGAUGCAAACAGAAGGCUGAUCGGAACAGGACAGAGCAUUCUUUCAAUGUCGGUGAUCAAGUUUUGCUCAAAUUACAGCCCUAUGCUCAGUCCAUCGUGGCCAAUCGCCCUUGCCCAAAAUUAGCAUUCAAGUUCUUUGGUCCGUUCACAGUGGAGCAGUGCAUUGGUACUCGAGCAUAUAAACUGACACUGCCAGCCGGCAAUCGCAUCCACCCGGUAUUCCACGUCUCACAGCUGAAGCCGUUCACACCAGACUAUUCUCCGGUCUUCGCUGAGCUUCCUCGAACACCGGACCUCACUGCUGCGCCACUACAGCCUGAGGCAAUACUGGAUCGCCGAAUGGUCAAGAAAGGCAACACUUCCAUCAUCCAGGUUCGUGUACAGUGGUCAUCGCUCUCUCCGGAUUCUGCAACCUGGGAGGACUACACGGUGCUUCGUCAUCGAUACCCGACAGCCCGAUGUUGGGAUGAUGCCGCUUCCGCUCAAGGGGGGGCAAUUGUCACACCUGCUCCCACCUGA
This 1461-nucleotide ribosomal RNA is filed under the name Triticum aestivum (bread wheat). RNAcentral describes it as "partial small subunit ribosomal RNA". Lineage: Eukaryota; Viridiplantae; Streptophyta; Magnoliopsida; Poales; Poaceae. The record is from RNAcentral.